UACGAAGGGGGCUAGCGUUGCUCGGAAUCACUGGGCGUAAAGGGUGCGUAGGCGGGUCUUUAAGUCAGGGGUGAAAUCCUGGAGCUCAACUCCAGAACUGCCUUUGAUACUGAGGAUCUUGAGUUCGGGAGAGGUGAGUGGAACUGCGAGUGUAGAGGUGAAAUUCGUAGAUAUUCGCAAGAAUACCAGUGGCGAAGGCGGCUCACUGGCCCGGUACUGACGCUGAGGUGCGAAAGCGUGGGGAGCAAACAGG
This 253-nucleotide ribosomal RNA is filed under the name uncultured bacterium. Its description in RNAcentral is "partial 16S ribosomal RNA". It matches the Rfam family "Bacterial small subunit ribosomal RNA", at positions 524 to 776 of the family's 1533-position model. The record is from RNAcentral.